This 495-nucleotide ribosomal RNA is filed under the name Triticum aestivum (bread wheat). Its description in RNAcentral is "partial small subunit ribosomal RNA". Lineage: Eukaryota; Viridiplantae; Streptophyta; Magnoliopsida; Poales; Poaceae. The record is from RNAcentral.
AUGAUACUACAAUCUUGUAUCGGACUGUACAAUUUCUUGAGAUCUGACCAAAAAAAAUCCAGAUUUUCAGUAGCUAAGCUACGUGCAAAGAGCAAAUUGAUGGGUGGGUCCCAUCGAUGCAUCUUGGCCAUGGCAAUGGCCAACAAUGGAGCUCAAGAACGCUCUCUCGACCUCCUCGGACGCAUCUCUCCUAACCAGGCACAAGACAUAGUCCAUAACCGCGGCAUUGCAGGGCAGCGUGAUCCUGCCACCCUCGCUGCUCGCGAAGCCAAACUCCUCCCCAGCCAUCCUCAAGAGUUCGGCGAAGACUGUUGUGUUGAGGUACGCCAGCGGGACCUCGAACCGCGCCCCAUCGGCUGUGUACACCACGCAAUGGCCCUUGUCAGCGACUGUGCUGCAGCACUCGUCAGCUUGCUGGCCACCGGCCCUGGCUGCGACCUUCUUCUGCCACUUUUUGGCCAGCUGAGCAAGCUUCUUUGGAUGGAUCAUGUUUGA